RNAcentral lists this ribosomal RNA (466 nucleotides) under uncultured bacterium. RNAcentral's name for it is "partial 16S ribosomal RNA". It matches the Rfam family "Bacterial small subunit ribosomal RNA", at positions 28 to 507 of the family's 1533-position model. The record is from RNAcentral.
GACGAACGCUGGCGGCGUGCUUAACACAUGCAAGUCGAACGGAAAGGCCCUGCUUGCAGGGUACUCGAGUGGCGAACGGGCGAGUAACACGUGGGUGAUCUGCCCUGCACUUCGGGAUAAGCCUGGGAAACUGGGUCUAAUACCGGAUAGGAGCCAUUUUUAGUGGGAUGGUUGGAAAGUUUUUUUCGGUGUAGGAUGAGCUCGCGGCCUAUCAGCUUGUUGGUGGGGUAAUGGCCUACCAAGGCGGCGACGGGUAGCCGGCCUGAGAGGGUGGGCGGCGGCACUGGCACCGACAGACGGCCCCGGUUCCUACGGGUGGCAGCAGGGGGAAAUCUUGCCCGAUGGGCGCCGGCCUGAUGCUGAGGCGCCGCGUGGCGGAUGACGGCCUUAGGGUUGUAAACUCCUUUCGCUAGGGACGAAGCUUUUUUUGACGGUACCUAGAUAGGAAGCCCCGGCUAACUACGUG